RNAcentral lists this non-coding RNA (246 nucleotides) under Proteiniborus sp. RNAcentral's name for it is "T-box sequence". It matches the Rfam family "T-box leader". Rfam says of the family: Uncharged tRNA acts as the effector for transcription antitermination of genes in the T-box leader family. T-boxes are found upstream of many aminoacyl-tRNA synthetase genes and some amino acid biosynthetic genes usually in Gram-positive bacteria. Lineage: Bacteria; Bacillati; Bacillota; Clostridia; Eubacteriales. The record is from RNAcentral.
UGAAAGGCAAUGAAGGGAAGAGUAGGCUUCUAUGUCUAUCUGAAAGAGAGCUAGGUUAGGUGAAAGCUAGCGUUAGAUGUUAAGCUGAACAUGGCCCCUGAGUUAUGUAGCUGAAAGUUCAAGUAGGCUAUAUCGGAUUUGUUUCCGUUAUAAUUACAAGGUUAUGAAAGUAACUUACUGAGUUCUAAGUCGUGAGGCUUAGAUAAAUUAGAGUGGUAACACGAGGAAUAUGCCUUCGUCUCUAUA